This 468-nucleotide ribosomal RNA is filed under the name uncultured bacterium. RNAcentral's name for it is "partial 16S ribosomal RNA". It matches the Rfam family "Bacterial small subunit ribosomal RNA", at positions 28 to 507 of the family's 1533-position model. The record is from RNAcentral.
GACGAACGCUGGCGGCGUGCUUAACACAUGCAAGUCGAACGGAAAGGCCCUGCUUUUGUGGGGUGCUCGAGUGGCGAACGGGUGAGUAAAACGUGAGUAACAUGCCCUUGACUUUGGGAUAACUUCAGGAAACUGGGGCUAAUACCGGAUAGGAGCUCCUGCUGCAUGGUGGGGGUUGGAAAGUUUCGGUGGUUGGGGAUGGACUAGCGGGUUAUCAGCUUGUUGGUGGGGUAGUGGCUUACCAAGGCUUUGACGGGUAGCCGGCCUGAGAGGGUGACCGGCCACAAUGGGACUAAGAUACGGCCCAGACUCCUACGGGAGGCAGCAGUGGGGAAUAUUGCACAAUGGGCGGAAGCCUGAUGCAGCAACGCCGCGUGCGGGAUGACGGCCUUCGGGUUAUAAACCGCUUUCGCCUGUGACGAAGCGUGAGUGACGGUAAUGGGUAAAGAAGCACCGGCUAACUACGUG